This is a long non-coding RNA of Octopus sinensis (East Asian common octopus), 144 nucleotides long. RefSeq lists it as uncharacterized. The record is from RefSeq and is a predicted model, not a curated record. Lineage: Eukaryota; Metazoa; Mollusca; Cephalopoda; Octopoda; Octopodidae. The transcript is spliced from 3 exons.
CAUCAAACCACAUCAAGAGGAAUAUAAAGGAAAUCAGAAUAGAAUGCCCAGUAGAACUGUUACAAAAGGUUUGCCUCCUUGGAACAGCCAGAAUAAUCAAGGAAGUACAAGAUAAUUGAAAAGAACAGAAAGCAUGGUACUGUA